This 252-nucleotide ribosomal RNA is filed under the name uncultured bacterium. RNAcentral describes it as "partial 16S ribosomal RNA". It matches the Rfam family "Bacterial small subunit ribosomal RNA", at positions 524 to 776 of the family's 1533-position model. The record is from RNAcentral.
UACGUAGGUGGCAAGCGUUAUCCGGAAUUAUUGGGCGUAAAGAGGGAGCAGGCGGCAGCAAAGGUCUGUGGUGAAAGACUGAAGCUUAACUUCAGUAAGCCAUAGAAACCGGGCAGCUAGAGUGCAGGAGAGGAUCGUGGAAUUCCAUGUGUAGCGGUGAAAUGCGUAGAUAUAUGGAGGAACCCCAGUGGCGAAGGCGACGAUCUGGCCUGCAACUGACGCUCAGUCCCGAAAGCGUGGGGAGCAAAUAGG